Molecule: ribosomal RNA, 315 nt
Filed under: uncultured bacterium
Lineage: Bacteria
Description: bacterial SSU rRNA
Rfam family: Bacterial small subunit ribosomal RNA
Source: RNAcentral
GACGAACGCUGGCGGCGUGCUUAACACAUGCAAGUCGAGCGAAGCGCUUUGAAUUUUUCGGAAUGAGAAGUGACUGAGCGGCGACGGGUGAGUAACGCGUGGGUAACCUGCCUCAUACAGGGGGAUAACAGUUAGAAAUGACUGCUAAUAUCGCAUAAGCGCACGUCAUCGCAUGAUGGUGUGUGAAAAACUCCGGUGGUAUGAGAUGGACCCGCGUCUGAUUAGGUAGUUGGUGGGGUAACGGCCCACCAAGCCGACGAUCCAUAGCCGGCCUGAGAGGGUGAACGGCCACAUUGGGACUGAGACACGGCCCAG